UACGUAGGUGGCAAGCGUUGUCCGGAUUUACUGGGCGUAAAGAGCGCGCAGGCGGUCGUCCAAGUCGCGUGUGAAAGCCCCCGGCUCAACUGGGGAGGGUCACGCGAUACUGGUCGACUCGAAGGCAGGAGAGGGUAGUGGAAUUCCCGGUGUAGUGGUGAAAUGCGUAGAUAUUGGGAGGAACACCAGUGGCGAAGGCGACUACCUGGCCUGUUCUUGACGCUGAGGCGCGAAAGCUAGGGGAGCAAACGGG
RNAcentral lists this ribosomal RNA (253 nucleotides) under uncultured bacterium. Its description in RNAcentral is "partial 16S ribosomal RNA". It matches the Rfam family "Bacterial small subunit ribosomal RNA", at positions 524 to 776 of the family's 1533-position model. The record is from RNAcentral.